AUGUCAGUUAGCUAACUUUAUUUUUUACGCUGUUAAAAUGCGGUGAUGGAUGCUGCAGCUCAAGAACAUCCAGCGUCGGAGGACGAGCAAAAGACCACUUUGGACGUCCUACGGGACCCAAGCGCAAGAAACACAAAUCCGAACGUCAAGAGCGUAUAGCUUCGGAGAAAUUUCCUAGAAGUUUCACCGAUUCUCAAGGUGAGCGAGUCAACGAAAAAACUUCGGAUAUGGCUUCUUCGUCGCUUACCCCGGAGAGUGGCACAAUAAUUCAAAAAUACUCCAGCUCCAAGUUAAUUCCUGGACCCGUUCAGUUUUCGAUCCUAACGCAGCCUGCUGGUGAUGUUGAAUUUGACG
Molecule: long non-coding RNA, 354 nt
Organism: Uranotaenia lowii
Lineage: Eukaryota; Metazoa; Arthropoda; Insecta; Diptera; Culicidae
Exons: 3
Source: RefSeq, a predicted model, not a curated record